RNAcentral lists this transfer RNA (71 nucleotides) under Cordylochernes scorpioides. RNAcentral describes it as "tRNA-Gly". The record is from RNAcentral. Lineage: Eukaryota; Metazoa; Arthropoda; Arachnida; Pseudoscorpiones; Chernetidae.
UGCAUCGGCUGGGAAUCGAACCCGGGCAGCCCGCGUGGCAGGCGAGCAUUCUACCACUGAACCACCGAUGC